UUAGCCGUGGGUUAGAGAGAACAAAGAAAGAAGAAGCUGUUGAUAGUGAAAUUGCAGUCGAUUUCUUCCAUCUCAAAUCAUCAAUUCCACCCUCUGCUGAUCUCUCUUCUAUGAAUUCCAUGGCCGCCAUCUCAGUGCAUCUCUUUCUCAAUUUUCAGAUAAAUAAAUAAAUGAGAAGAGAAAUUCAGAAACUACGUGUGUUGGAGUAAUUUUACCCAAAAAUUGAAUACGCACGUGAAAUUUUACGUCCGUAGGUUUCAUAACGGAGAUAUCGGACAAAAUGAGUCUCACAUUAAUUUUCACUUUACAAUUAAAUUAUUAAAAAUAAAUAACAAUGUUGGAAAUUGGAGGAACCGAAAAACCAAAAAAGUAGGCUCAAAUCCACGUUUUUUUUCUUUCUGCUUUUACUCUUUCUCUUCGCCAAAAACUCCGUUAAAGAAAAUGGUGGAGAUGAGACAUUAGAUUUAAAUUUUUUGAUUUGUUAAGGAACAAAAAGUCACCACUACAAUUUUUCUUGUUAAUUUUCUACUUCGAGUUUUUUUCCUGUGAUUCAGUACUAAAUAUUCAUCAUCUACAGAUUUACCUCUUUUCAAUUGAACUCAUUUAUAUCACAUCCCAAUAGUAAUUCCACAGCUACCACAACUGAUACUAGUAGUCAUCAUUUGCAAUUGAUUUAAAUCUUACAUUUAGCCGAUGAUCAUCGCCAUCAUGAUGAAAAAUCAUCAUCCGUCAACUGAUUUUGUAGUAGUAGCAAUGGCCAGCUUAAUAAUCAUCCCCGUUAUCUUACUAUAUUUCAAUUCUCAACCCGAAUUCUUCAAGACCAUCUUAAUAGAGAAUAUAAUCUCUUUGGACGUGGAAAGGCUUUAGUUUUUUUAUCAAUCAAGAUCCUUCACUGUUUCUGGUUUGCUAUUAGUGUCGAAGAGAAAGAGGAUGAAGUCGUUUUGGAUGCCGUCCAAUGUAAUUCGGAGGAACAACAACCAAUUAAUGUUGUUGGCUUUGACUCCAAAAAAUACUUCACUGCAGAUAAGACAUUUAGCUCAAAAGAAAAUGUUACACAAUGGUGUCGCGAGAUUGGUAGUCAAAACAAUAUAAUUGUUGUGAUUAAAAAGAGAUAACUGGAUUUUUAAUUUUUAGGUUUUGUCCAACACUAGGUUUUGGUCUAACAUUUGUCCAACGUUAGGGCUUGGUACAUGGACCAAACGUUGAGCUACGUUGACUGUUUAUGACGUGACUUUAAUAAAUUUAAUAAAAUAAAAAUACCAAAUUACAAUCAUACCCCUGGAGGGAAUCUAGAAUCCAACGGCUUUCAUAUAUUCAUUACCCUAUUUACUCCUUCUCCAUUGUCUUCACAAACAGAUAGUCUAAAAAAAUAAAAAAAUCUUCACGAACAGGUCUUCACAAACUGGCCGCAGAAAGAGUGAUUUCUUUUUUGUUUUGUUGAAUCCAAUCAUCUCUACAUGGUAAGGAAUGACUGAUUAGGGAUGACUGAUUGUUAGUUAGGGUUGUGGUGCUUAUUCAACUUGAUAUGUUCGUGAAGAUAAAUAAGACGAACCAGGGCGACAGAGAUCGAAGAACAAUUGAAGAUUAAUGAAGGCGAAUCUAAGCUGUGGGUCAUGCAGAAGAUGAUUUGGAGAAGUGGGUGUUUGAUGAUUUGUAAUAUAUUCUCUUUCUCUUUGAUUUUAAUUUUUUUAAUUGGUGUUUGUUAUUUAUGGGUGUUGAAUUCGCUCAAUUCUGGUGUGUAUUUGAUUUUGGGAUCUGGGGUUUUAAUUUUGAUCAUCAAUCUCAUUUUUAGGUAAGAAAUUUAUGGGUUUUAUCUAUUGUUUGAAUUUGAGUUGAAAUUGAAAUAUAAAUUUGUAACUGGAUUGAUGAUUUGUAAUUGGGUAUUGCAAUUGAUGAAAUUAUUAUUCAUGAGUGGUCCAAAAUGUUA
This is a long non-coding RNA of Papaver somniferum (opium poppy), 1927 nucleotides long. RefSeq lists it as uncharacterized. The transcript is spliced from 2 exons. The record is from RefSeq and is a predicted model, not a curated record. NCBI's taxonomy places the organism in Eukaryota, Viridiplantae, Streptophyta, Magnoliopsida, Ranunculales, Papaveraceae.